GCACUCUCACAUCUAACCUUUGGGUUAUGAUAUGGAAUUGGGAUGCGCCGAUUUUUACUAGUCGGCACUCCUAAAAUGUAGCUCUUGGCUGUUUCCUACUACAGCAGUUUGGCCUAAUAGUUUUGACUUUUGUCAAAUCUUUGGCUACAUUUGCUUCUGGAAAUCAGUCUUGAUAAUACAGAAAACUCAUUCAAA
This 195-nucleotide unclassified non-coding RNA is filed under the name uncultured Umbelopsis. Its description in RNAcentral is "sequence contains ITS2". The record is from RNAcentral. Lineage: Eukaryota; Fungi; Mucoromycota; Umbelopsidomycetes; Umbelopsidales; Umbelopsidaceae.